RNAcentral lists this ribosomal RNA (507 nucleotides) under uncultured bacterium. Its description in RNAcentral is "bacterial SSU rRNA". It matches the Rfam family "Bacterial small subunit ribosomal RNA", at positions 8 to 507 of the family's 1533-position model. The record is from RNAcentral.
AGAGUUUGAUCCCUGGCUCAGGAUGAACGCUAGCGGCAGGCUUAAUACAUGCAAGUCGUGGGCAGCAGGUUUGUAGCAAUACAGAUGCUGGCGACCGGCAAACGGGUGCGGAACACGUACAGAACCUUCCUUUGAGCGGGAAUAGCCCAGAGAAAUUUGGAUUAAUACCCCAUAGUAUAAUGAAGUGGCAUCACUUUAUUAUUAAAGAUUUGUCACUCGAAGAUGGCUGUGCGGCUGAUUAGGUAGUUGGCGGGGUAAAGGCCCACCAAGCCUGCGAUCAGUAACUGGUGUGAGAGCACGACCAGUCCCACGGGCACUGAGACACGGGCCCGACUCCUACGGGAGGCAGCAGUAGGAAUAUUGGUCAAUGGAGGCAACUCUGAACCGGCCAUGCCCGCGUGGAGGAUGAAGGUCCUCUGGAUUGUAAACUUCUUUUAUAUGGGACGAAAAAAGGCUUUUCUAAGUCGUCUGACGGUACCAUAUGAAUAAGCACCGGCUAACUCCGUG